Molecule: ribosomal RNA, 205 nt
Filed under: Citrobacter sp. wls711
Lineage: Bacteria; Pseudomonadati; Pseudomonadota; Gammaproteobacteria; Enterobacterales; Enterobacteriaceae
Also listed under: 2 other names
Description: partial 23S ribosomal RNA
Rfam family: Bacterial large subunit ribosomal RNA
Source: RNAcentral
AACGCUGAGGUGUGAUGACGAGGCACUACGGUGCUGAAGUAACAAAUGCCCUGCUUCCAGGAAAAGCCUCUAAGCAUCAGGUAACACGAAAUCGUACCCCAAACCGACACAGGUGGUCAGGUAGAGAAUACCAAGGCGCUUGAGAGAACUCGGGUGAAGGAACUAGGCAAAAUGGUGCCGUAACUUCGGGAGAAGGCACGCUGAU